This is a long non-coding RNA of Sciurus carolinensis (gray squirrel), 235 nucleotides long. RefSeq lists it as uncharacterized. The record is from RefSeq and is a predicted model, not a curated record. The transcript has 3 exons. NCBI's taxonomy places the organism in Eukaryota, Metazoa, Chordata, Mammalia, Rodentia, Sciuridae.
GGACGCCACACCUACGCCGUGCCAAAGCCAAGCAGCUCCUUAAGCCUCCUAAGAAUCCUGUGUGCCCCGCCUCGGUCCAAAAUUGUUAACGUUGGCCCCAGCUAACUUCUCCAGCCCCAGUACUGAAUGGUCCGCAAUUUUGCAACGAGUCUAGGUCCUUCCUCUGAAGGCAUACCUACCGAUACUGAAAGACUGCAUGCUGCUUUGAACAAGAGGGAUGAUCAAUUGGAAUGUC